Non-coding RNA from Phascolarctos cinereus (koala), 7594 nucleotides. NCBI's taxonomy places the organism in Eukaryota, Metazoa, Chordata, Mammalia, Diprotodontia, Phascolarctidae. The record is from RefSeq and is a predicted model, not a curated record.
UGGGGGAUUCCUCUCCCCUCUUGAAGUUAGGGGAAGGGGAAUGCCCAAUUCAGAGAGACAUGGGGGCAAGAAGGAUGGGGGUGGAGGGAGUUCUGGGGCCAUGCAUCCAUCAUCUCUGGGUGGUGGUGGCAGCUCUAAUAGCAGAGAGCGGCAUAGACUUGUGUCCAAACACAAGAGGCACAAGUCCAAGCACUCCAAAGAUCUAGGCUCUCUGGCCCCUGAAGCAGCCCCUCUGAGCACCAUGAUCAAGCCCCUGGUGGAGUACGACGACAUCAGCUCUGAUUCAGACACCUUCUCUGAUGACAUGGCCUUCAAGCUAGAUAGAAGAGAUAAUGAUGAUCGUCGGGGUACUGAUAGGAGUGACCGGCUCCACAAACAUCGCCAUCAUCAGCACAGGCGAAUCAGAGAGCUACUGAAAACCAAGCAGAUAGAGAAGGAGAAGAAGGUGGAAAAAAACCAAGAAGUCUCCAGCAAGUCAGUGUCCACAAAGGACCGAGUUUCUGGGACUUCAAAACGACUGAAUGAAGAGAAUGAUGACUACGGGAAGGCACUAGUAUCUAAGAGUAGCAGUAACAAGGAAUCUAGGUCAGCCAAAUUCCAUAAGGAGAAGACUCGAAAAGAACGAGAGUUAAAGUCUGGACACAAAGAUCGUUCUAAAAGUCAUCGGAAAAGAGACCCACCCAAAAGCUACAAAUCAAUAGAUAGUCCCAAACGCAGAUCCAGGAGCCCUCACCGAAAAUGGUCUGACAGCCCUAAGCAGGAUGACAGCCCUUCUGGAGCAUCAUACAGCCAGGAAUAUGAUGUUAGUCCUCCAAGGUCUCAUACCUCCAGCAACUAUGACUCCUACAAGAAGAGCCCAGGUGGGUCCUCACGAAGACAGUCAAUUAGUCCACCUUAUAGAGAACCAUCGGCCUACCAGUCCAGCAUUCGUUCACCCAGUCCAUACAGUAGGCGGCAGAGGUCAGUGAGUCCAUACAACAGGAGGCGUUCAUCCAGCUAUGAGAGAGGGAGUGGUUCAUAUGGUGGUCGAUCACCCAGUCCUUAUAGCCGAAGACGCUCAAGCAGCCCAUUUGUGACCAAGCGCUCUGUGAGUCGGAGUCCUCUUCCCAGGAAAUCAGUGAAGUCUAGAAGUAGAAGUCCUGUAUAUUCUAGACAUUCAUCUUCCCACAGCAAAAAGAAGCGAUCUGGUUCACGAAGUAGACAUUCUAGUAUCUCACCUACCAGGCUCCCCUUAAACUCCAGCCUGGGAGCUGAGCUCAGCAGAAAGAAGAAGGAAAGAGCAGCUGCAGCAGCUGCUGCAAAAGUAGAUGGAAAAGAAGUGAAGGGGUCACCUAUAAUUUUGGCUAAAAAGGAAAAUAUCUCAGGAGAGACUAAAGAGUCAAGUCUUGAGUCUAAAAAGUUAUCUAGAGUUUUAAAAUCUGAAAAAUCUGCCUCAGAUACCGAACUGGUAAACUUAACACAUCUGAAUACAGAGAUUAAAACUUCUCUAGAUCCUGGAAAAAUAAAAUUGGAUGAGAACUCCGAGAAGAAGCAUCUUGUUUCUACUAAAGACUUGAAAUCACAGGGAUUAAAGGACUCUAAACCCAUAGUAUUGAAAGAAGAGAUUGUGGCUCCAAAGGAAUCAGAGAUAAUGGAAAAAGAGGCUCUUCCGCCUCUCCCCACAAUUACUUCUCCACCCCCUCUACCAACUACCACCCCUCCACCUCAGGCGCCUCCCCUGCCACCUUUGCCUCCAUUACCUGCUAUUCCACAUCAACCACCUUUGCCACCUCUCCAACCAGCUUUUAGUCAGGUCUCUAAUUCUGUCACCCCAACUUUGUCAUCUUCUGCUCACCCAAGGACAUCUGCUCUAUCCUCUCAGGCAAACUCUCAGCCCCUUGUACAGGUUUCUGUGAAGACACAGGUGUCUUUGACAGCUGCUAUUCCACACCUGAAAACUUCAACUUUGCCUCCUCUGCCGCUUCCACCCUUACUUCUUGGAGAGGACGACUUGGAUAGUCCGAAGGAGAGUCUUCCUCCAAAACCUAUGAAGAAGGAGAAGGAACAAAGAACUCGACAUUUGCUCAUGGACCUUCCUCUUCCUCCAGAGCUCCCCGGUGGUGAUCCAUCUCCCCCAGAUUCUCCAGAACCAAAGGCUGUCACCCCCCCUCAGCAACCAUAUAAGAAGAGACCAAAAAUCUGUUGCCCACGUUAUGGGGAAAGGAGACAAACAGAAAGUGAUUGGGGCAAGCGCUGCGUGGACAAGUUUGACAUAAUUGGAAUUAUUGGGGAAGGAACAUAUGGACAAGUAUACAAAGCCAAGGACAAAGACACAGGAGAGCUAGUAGCCCUAAAGAAGGUGCGACUAGACAAUGAGAAAGAGGGCUUCCCAAUCACAGCCAUUCGUGAGAUCAAAAUUCUUCGACAGCUGAUCCACCGGAGUGUUGUUAAUAUGAAGGAAAUUGUCACAGAUAAACAAGAUGCACUGGAUUUCAAGAAGGACAAAGGUGCCUUUUACCUUGUAUUUGAAUACAUGGACCAUGACUUAAUGGGGCUGCUAGAGUCUGGAUUAGUACAUUUUUCUGAGGACCACAUCAAGUCUUUCAUGAAACAGCUAAUGGAAGGGUUGGAUUAUUGUCACAAAAAGAACUUCCUGCAUCGGGAUAUUAAAUGUUCCAACAUUUUGCUGAACAACAGUGGACAGAUCAAGCUGGCAGAUUUUGGACUUGCUCGACUCUAUAGCUCUGAAGAGAGUCGUCCUUACACAAAUAAAGUCAUUACGCUAUGGUAUCGACCACCAGAACUGCUGCUAGGAGAGGAGCGCUACACGCCAGCCAUUGAUGUUUGGAGUUGUGGUUGUAUCCUUGGGGAACUGUUUACAAAGAAGCCUAUUUUUCAAGCUAAUCUGGAACUGGCUCAGCUUGAACUAAUCAGUCGGCUCUGCGGCAGCCCUUGUCCAGCUGUGUGGCCUGAUGUUAUUAAGCUACCUUAUUUCAACACAAUGAAACCGAAAAAGCAGUACCGUAGGCGUCUACGUGAGGAAUUCUCUUUUAUUCCUUUGGCUGCUCUAGACUUGCUCGACCACAUGCUGACACUGGAUCCUAACAAGCGCUGCACUGCUGAGCAGGCCCUGCAGAGUGACUUUCUUAGAGACGUCGAGCUCAGCAAAAUGGCUCCUCCAGACCUCCCUCAUUGGCAGGAUUGCCACGAACUAUGGAGCAAGAAACGACGGCGACAGAGGCAAAGUGGCAUUGUGGUGGAGGAACCGCCUCUGUCCAAAACCUCUCGAAAAGAAACUACCUCAGGAGCAAAUGUGGAGCCUGUGAAGAACAACAGCCCAGCACCACCCCAGCCUGCUCCUGUCAAGGUGGAACCUGGGGCUGGGGAUGCAAUAGGCCUUGGUGACAUCACACAGCAGCUGAAUCAAAGUGAACUGGCAGUAUUAUUGAACCUGCUGCAGAGCCAGACUGACCUGAGCAUCCCUCAGAUGGCACAGCUGCUCAAUGUCCAUUCCAACCCAGAGAUGCAACAGCAGCUAGAGGCCCUGAACCAGUCCAUCAAUGCUCUCAAUGAAGCCACUUCCCAGCAUCAGGACUCCGAGCAUGUGGCCCCAGAGGAGACUGUGAAGGAGCCCCCCCCUGCCAUGGUAGCCCAACCCUCAGCAGAGCAGACAACCCCUGAAGCAUCUAGCACACCAGGUGACGUACAGAAUGUGUUGGCAGUCCUCCUAAGUCAGCUGAUGAAAACCCAGGAACCAACAGGCAGCCUCGAGGAAAGCAAUGGAGAAAAGAGCAGUGGGCCACAGGGACCCCGAAGAACUCCCACAAUACCACAGGAGGAGGCAGCAGAACAAGUUAAUAGCAGGAAGGGAGGCUCCUGAGGAAUGGGCACCAUGCCUACAAUAAUCUCACACUUAGAGCCUUGGCAAACCUCUUGGCAUCCUUCUAGAAGUUUUUGGGAUUCUGAAAUCAGAUCUUUGGAGAAAGAGAUGAUGUCACCCCGGUUUGGUCAUUAAUCCUGGUGCCACAGAUACCUACUAGAUCCUGAGACUUCACCAAACUGCCAGAGGGGCCCAUGAAACAAAGAAGGUGAACAACCACUGCCUUAGACACCAUCCCUGCAGAGGCAUCAUACAUAGUAUAAGAGAAAGGACACUGGGCUAGGAGUUUGAAGACUUGGAGUCUUAUCCCCAUUCUUUCACUUACUGAAGGUUUUGAUGAAGACCCAGCACAUCCUGGGUGCUCUGUUCUCCAGCUGAGGAAUGGGGCACUUCUGCCUGUGGCCAUUCCUAGAAAUCCAGAGUAGCUUCAGGGUGGAGAGAAGAACAGACCAGCCACUUCGUAUCUGUGCACAAAAACAGGGCUGAUCCUCACCCAUCUCCUUACCAUCUCAUCUCUUCCUGGCAGCAGACAGGCUUGGCUUGGCAGGAUCACAAACCUCGGGUGGGCCUGUUGGGAGGUUCCAGAAUAAAGUUCAGCCCCAAACCAACACCAGACUUGAUGUUAGAUAUCAAGAUAGUGCUGCUGAGAAACAAGGUGGGAUCAGGGAAGGAAUAAAGAGGCUUAGCUUCAGGAAAGCAUUGAAGCCACACUCCUGAGUGCCCCAUUCAGUGCUCUCUUCCCCCCCCUCCAAUUCUCUUGAUUCUUCCACCCCCACUCCUACCCAGUGACCAAAUUCUCUUUGACCCAUCCUAUCCUGGCUACUUCACACACACACACACACACACACACACCACACACACACACCCAACCCGGGACACAGACAAGUUGUCAUCUGUCCCUCAUCUUUUCUAUUUCUUUUCCCCUCAAACACAUGCCCCUAAGAUCUCUACACAGAACUCCCAGCUUCUCCCUCCCCUUAUCUAAGGGAACUCCAGCCUAAAGGGGUCUGUCUGUUCUCGUUCUCAGAAAGAUGCCUAGGACAAUGAGUGGUCUGGCUGCUGGCAUGCCUUGAACUGGGACUCCAAAGAGAGAACUGGGGCAGAGGGCAAGCCCCUAGGAUGGAGGUGGGAGGGCUAGUGUCACUGCUGGGUUGAGUACCGAGUGUCUGAGUGUAUGCCCAUGCGUUGGGGCGCACUGGUUUAUUAGUGUUAUUUCAGCAUUGUGAUGCAGAGAGAGUAAGUGUAACAGCUGCUCCUAGCUCGCAGUGUUUAUUGUUACCUAGAGACAACCUCCUGGCUUUUUCCCAGUUCCCCACCACCACCCCAAACACCCCCCCCAAGUCCUGCUCUCCCCACACUCUGAUGGGAAAUUUAUAGCUUGCCCAUACCAUACCUUUAACCCUCUCUUGCCUGUAGAGGAUGGCUAAGGUGAGCAGUAGGAACACUUGAGUGGAAUGAGAUAGGAUGCAGUAAGGACACCCUCUUAAUUCUCCCUUCUUCAUGCUGUUUCCAGCCUUUGGAAAGCCCAAGUGCUUUCCAUUCUCAUAGGCUUUCACAGUGGUCAAUCAGGAGUUUUUUCAGUAACUUCCUUAGCUCCUUUGGAAGCUAGAUGGCCAAAGGACCUGGGUGUCCUCCCCACAAGGUUAUUCACCUCCCUGGGAAAUAUCUAACAACCUGAAUUUGGCUGACUGGGUUUAACAUUGGGCCCAAGAGGGGAGCCUGGAAAGGGUGCAGUUAGAACUGGAGGGAUGAACAGAGACUGGUAUGCCCAGCCAGACACAUCUAAAGAAUAGAAAAGGCUAUGAGUUAAAUUUGGUUAAACUUCACACUAAAAUGAUUACAGAGACAUCAUUUUAACCCAAACCCGAAGGUCCCGUGGCCAAAGGGAGGGGGUAGGCUCAUGGAGUGCCAACUAGACAUGCAGAGCUGAAUGGGUAAUGCCUUCUGCCAAGCAUGGCAGAUAAGACUGAUCCUUUCUGUUCUCAUACUCCUUCCAAGUCCAAUGUCAGGCCUGGGGAUGACCAAAUAGAAACAGUGAAGAGAGAGUUCAUCAUCAACUAUGUCUUUUAGGUCAGGGGAAAGGGUGUGUUCCCUCCUGCAUAUCCCUCUCGGUCCAUCAUCUCCUGGGGGCCCGUCAUCUCUGAUCUAUUUCUAACAGAUUUUGUGGUGGUUUCUUAUUCUCUUUGCAAGCACAGGGGCCCAGUAAGCCUUGGAGGUGGCCUCCCCAGAAAGAAGGAAGGAGAAGCCAUUCCUCUUAAUACUGAGUUCUGGUAUCUUGAUAGAGGUCAUGACCUGCCUUCUAUCCCCUACCUCCUCUAAGAACAGGAAAUACUGUAAGAUUGCAGCAAGAUAGGUAGAUGUUGUGUGGCUAGCUAGCUAGCAAAUUAUUUAUAUAGUACUUUAAAGUUUGCAAAACACUUAUAAAUAUUAUCUCAUUUUAUCAUCACAACAAACUUGGGAGGUAAGUGCCAUUGUUUUCCCUAUUUUAAAGGCCAAGAAACUAAGGUGAACAGAGGAUAAGUGACUUGUCCGGGGUUACACAACUAACCAGUAUCUGAGGCUGGAUUUGAACUCAGGUCUUCCUGGCUCCAAGUCCAUUGUUUUAUCUGCUGUGCCACCUAGCUGCCUCUGAUUCCCUCAAGCAGUUAUGAGAUGUAGGAAUGGGAGACUGAUGGAAUUCUAUGACUUCCCUUCUCUAGAUUCUUCUCUAUCUGGGAUAGGCUAGGUAUAGAAGUACCUGGAUAGAGAUGAGCUUUCCAGAGCCUGCCCAAACCCACACAGCUCCCAUACAAUAGUGUGGUUUCCUUUGGUCACUUUCAGAGCUGCCUAGAAGGUGGAGCAGCCCAGUGGGUCUGUGAUUUUAGUAGCUUAGAAUCUCACCACCUACCCCAGGCUACAUUCUCCCUACUAAGGGCGGUGUCUUGGGCACCCUAUUCACACACACCCAAAAGAAUCUUAUCCUUUCCCAUACCUCCAGACAAAUCUGUCCUAUAAAGGAUGUAAGACAAGAUAGAAGACACAAAUUUCCCCAUAUGAUUAGGGUGAAAGGGAGAUGAAUUUGUAAGCACAAGUGAAAUAAGAGAGUAGCAUAGGUCAAGAUAGAAUCCCUUUGGGCCCUCCAUGCAAAGGUAGGCUUGGAGUAGGGGCAAAAGAUAAUUGGAAACAACUAGAAAUGUGGAGGAAAGCCUUUUUGCUCUUUUCUAGGGAAGAAAAUAGGAAGUCGUCCUUGGGUAUUCAACUCUACUGUGAUCCAGAAGCGGGUCUAAGAUAAGAGGAGCUCUUUGCUAAGGAGAAAGGAAGGAGCUGUUGCCUAAGGUUGAGGAUUCUUCUUCAUUUCUACAUGACAAAGACCACCUCUUCCCCGCUGCCCCCAGGAAUCCUAAGAGAAGUCAAGAUGUUGGAAAUGAGGGAGCAAAGCUAUGCUUGAAGAAUCAAAUGGUCAUUGGGCCACCAUCUUUCUGCAGAGAAGAUAAAAGAAUGCUCCAUUUUUCAGUCCUCUGAAGUCACAGUUGGGUCAUUGCAGUCAUCAGAGUCUGGAUAUCUUUCACCAUUGUUUUCCUUGACUUCAUUGUGGUCUCGGGGUAGAUUGCUGCUCCCGGUUCAUCAGUUCCUACAAGCCUUCACAAAUUUUUCUGAAUUCUUCAUUUUUGUAAUUGUCUUUUUUUAUUUUUGUCUGAACCCAUGAUUUUCAUUGGUAAAAGGAAUUCCCAGGGAGGAAACUCCCUGUACCACUAA